Molecule: ribosomal RNA, 488 nt
Filed under: uncultured bacterium
Lineage: Bacteria
Description: bacterial SSU rRNA
Rfam family: Bacterial small subunit ribosomal RNA
Source: RNAcentral
GAUGAACGCUGGCGGCGUGCCUAACACAUGCAAGUCGAACGGGUGUGGUAUCAGGGAAAAGGGGUUUACUUCUUUGACCAGAUAACACACUAGUGGCGGACGGGUGAGUAACGCGUGGAUAACCUGCCUUAUACAGGGGGAUAACAGGGAGAAAUUCUUGCUAAUACCCCAUAGGUAUGUCUGACGCAUGUUGGACAUAUUAAAGCUUUGGCGGUAUAAGAUGGGUCCGCGUCUGAUUAGCUAGUUGGUGGGGUAAAGGCCCACCAAGGCGACGAUCAGUAGCCGGCUUGAGAGAGUGGACGGCCACAUUGGGACUGAGACACGGCCCAAACUCCUACGGGAGGCAGCAGUGGGGAAUAUUGCACAAUGGGGGAAACCCUGAUGCAGCGACGCCGCGUGAAGGAAGAAGGUCCUCGGAUCGUAAACUUCUAUCAGCAGGGAAGAAGGAAGUGACAGUACCUGAGUAAGAAGCCCCGGCUAACUACGUG